GCUUAGCCGUAAACCCAAGUAAUUAAUAAACAAAAUUACUCGCCAGAGUACUACAAGCAAAAGCUUAAAACUCAAAGGACUUGGCGGUACUUCACAUCCCUC
RNAcentral lists this ribosomal RNA (102 nucleotides) under Varecia variegata (ruffed lemur). RNAcentral describes it as "partial 12S ribosomal RNA". The record is from RNAcentral. Lineage: Eukaryota; Metazoa; Chordata; Mammalia; Primates; Lemuridae.